Molecule: ribosomal RNA, 253 nt
Filed under: uncultured bacterium
Lineage: Bacteria
Description: partial 16S ribosomal RNA
Rfam family: Bacterial small subunit ribosomal RNA
Source: RNAcentral
UACGAUGGGGGCUAGCGUUGCUCGGAAUCACUGGGCGUAAAGGGUGCGUAGGCGGGUCUUUAAGUCAGAGGUGAAAUCCUGGAGCUCAACUCCAGAACUGCCUUUGAUACUGAGGAUCUUGAGUACGGGAGAGGUGAGUGGAACUGCGAGUGUAGAGGUGAAAUUCGUAGAUAUUCGCAAGAACACCAGUGGCGAAGGCGGCUCACUGGCCCGUUACUGACGCUGAGGCACGAAAGCGUGGGGAGCAAACAGG